UCGGGAAUUUUGGGCAAUGGGCGAAAGCCUGACCCAGCAACGCCGCGUGAAGGAUGAAGUAUUUCGGUAUGUAAACUUCGUAAGAAUGGGAAGAAUCAAUGACGGUACCAUUUGUAAGGUCCGGCUAACUACGUGCCAGCAGCCGCGGUAAUACGUAGGGACCAAGCGUUGUUCGGAUUUACUGGGCGUAAAGGGAGCGUAGGCGGCAAUUCAAGUCAGUUGUGAAAUCUCAAGGCUUAACCUUGAACGGUCAACUGAUACUGCUUUGCUAGAGUACAGAAGGGGCAAUCGGAAUUCUUGGUGUAGCGGUGAAAUGCGUAGAUAUCAAGAGGAACACCUGAGGUGAAGACGGGUUGCUGGGCUGAUACUGACGCUGAGGCUCGAAAGCCAGGGGAGCAA
Molecule: ribosomal RNA, 399 nt
Filed under: uncultured bacterium
Lineage: Bacteria
Description: bacterial SSU rRNA
Rfam family: Bacterial small subunit ribosomal RNA
Source: RNAcentral